Molecule: unclassified non-coding RNA, 341 nt
Filed under: soil metagenome
Description: partial contains 5.8S ribosomal RNA, internal transcribed spacer 2, and large subunit ribosomal RNA
Rfam family: 5.8S ribosomal RNA (bases 1-120)
Source: RNAcentral
GAUGAAGAACGCAGCGAAAUGCGAUAAGUAGUGUGAAUUGCAGAAUUCAGUGAAUCAUCGAAUCUUUGAACGCACAUUGCGCCCUUUGGUAUUCCAAAGGGCAUGCCUGUUCGAGCGUCAUUUGUACCCUCAAGCUUUGCUUGGUGUUGGGCGUCUUGUCUCUAGCUUUGCUGGAGACUCGCCUUAAAGUAAUUGGCAGCCGGCCUACUGGUUUCGGAGCGCAGCACAAGUCGCACUCUCUAUCAGCAAAGGUCUAGCAUCCAUUAAGCCUUUUUUCCAACUUUUGACCUCGGAUCAGGUAGGGAUACCCGCUGAACUUAAGCAUAUCAAUAAGCGGAGGA